GAUGAACGCUAGCGGCAGGCCUAAUACAUGCAAGCCGAACGGCAAGUUUGAUAGCAAUUUUGGACCUAGAGUGGCGCAAGGGUGCGUAACACGUAUGCAACCUGCCCGCGACAGGAGGAUAGCUCCCCGAAAGGGGAAUUAACCCUCCAUAACACCAUGAGAAGGCAUCUGAUUAUGGUUAAACCGCAAGGGGUCGCGGAUGGGCAUGCGGUUGAUUAGCUAGUUGGCGGGGUAAAGGCCCACCAAGGCGGGGAUCAAUAGGGGUUCUGAGAGGAAGGUCCCCAGCACUGGCACGGAGAUACGGGCCAUACGCCUACGGGAGGAAGCAGUAGGGAAGAUUGGGUAAUGGAUGCAAGACUGUGCCAGCCAUGCCGCGUGCAGGAAGAAGGCCGUGUGGGUCGUAAACUGCGUUUUCCUGUGGAUAAAAUACGCGAGCGCGGGGAAUUGAAGGUAACAGGUGAAGAAGCCACGGCUAACUACGUG
Molecule: ribosomal RNA, 483 nt
Filed under: uncultured bacterium
Lineage: Bacteria
Description: partial 16S ribosomal RNA
Rfam family: Bacterial small subunit ribosomal RNA
Source: RNAcentral